GAUGAACGCUGGCGGCGUGCCUAAUACAUGCAAGUCGAGCGAACAGACGAGGAGCUUGCUCCUCUGACGUUAGCGGCGGACGGGUGAGUAACACGUGGAUAACCUACCUAUAAGACUGGGAUAACUUCGGGAAACCGGAGCUAAUACCGGAUAAUAUAUUGAACCGCAUGGUUCAAUAGUGAAAGACGGUUUUGCUGUCACUUAUAGAUGGAUCCGCGCCGCAUUAGCUAGUUGGUAAGGUAACGGCUUACCAAGGCGACGAUGCGUAGCCGACCUGAGAGGGUGGUCGGCCACACGGGAACUGGAACACGGUCCAGACUCCUACGGGAGGCAGCAGUAGGGAAUCUUCCGCAAUGGGCGAAAGCCUGACGGAGCAACGCCGCGUGAGUGAUGAAGGUCUUCGGAUCGUAAAACUCUGUUAUUAGGGAAGAACAAAUGUGUAAGUAACUAUGCACGUCUUGACGGUACCUAAUCAGAAAGCCACGGCUAACUACGUG
RNAcentral lists this ribosomal RNA (497 nucleotides) under uncultured bacterium. Its description in RNAcentral is "partial 16S ribosomal RNA". It matches the Rfam family "Bacterial small subunit ribosomal RNA", at positions 28 to 507 of the family's 1533-position model. The record is from RNAcentral.